Synchiropus splendidus (mandarinfish) is the source of this 689-nucleotide long non-coding RNA. RefSeq lists it as uncharacterized. Lineage: Eukaryota; Metazoa; Chordata; Actinopteri; Syngnathiformes; Callionymidae. The record is from RefSeq and is a predicted model, not a curated record. The transcript is spliced from 3 exons.
CGUCGCUGAACUGGAGCUGGGCGAGUCCAGGAAGCGCCGCUCAAGACACCGCGGCUCCGGCUCCAAGUGAGCUCGACGUGCAGAGGUUUCAACUGCCACCGCAAGCUGGCAGAGUGGCGGCAGCUGUGACUCAUGUUCUCUUCUGUGUUCGAUGUUGGUCCUCGAUGGUUCAGCAUCCGGGAAGAAAAUCAGGUCUGUCCCUGGGUUGGAUGCCAGUGAUACCUGAGGUAGCAGUAUGUCUGCGGUGAUGAGGUCACAUGGGUCUGCUCUCGACCUCCAUCCUCUGGUGCGCCUGCACUUCAUAGUCAGAAAUGCUGUUGUUUUCCCAUCUGCUGGCCACGUCCGGAUCAUCCAAUGGUCAAGUGUGGCACAGCGUCUCGGUCGGCAACAUCUCAGCCAUGACAUGCGACCACAGCUACCAGCAGACCACCUCUCUCUCUGGGGUUUUAGCUCCCACACAGCUGAGCAGAGGAUUGAUGAGCUUGGUCGCAACAUUCCAAAACACAGUUCACACGUUCAAUCGAUCAAAGUGAAACAAUAACGCUAUCUGAAUAUUAAAUAUGAAGUAUCAAAGAUCAGGCUGAUAAUCGUGGAAAUUAUAUAUUAUAGGGCCAAUAAUCACAGCAUAUGACGCCAAUAAAUACAAAACACAUAAUUAAUUUACAGCUAUAAUAAUCACCAACUGUAAU